GACAUAGGUGGCAAACGUUGUCCGGAUUUACUGGGCGUAAAGGGCGUGCAGGCGGUUUGUUAAGUGCAGGGUGAAAGCUCCCGGCUCAACUGGGAGAGGUCCUUGCAUACUGGCAGACUUGAGGGAGGCAGAGGAAAGUGGAAUUCCUGGUGUAGCGGUGGAAUGCGCAGAUAUCAGGAGGAACACCGGUGGCGAAGGCGGGUCUCUGGGCCGAUACUGACGCUGAGGAGCGAAAGCGUGGGGAGCGAACAGG
RNAcentral lists this ribosomal RNA (253 nucleotides) under uncultured bacterium. Its description in RNAcentral is "partial 16S ribosomal RNA". It matches the Rfam family "Bacterial small subunit ribosomal RNA", at positions 524 to 776 of the family's 1533-position model. The record is from RNAcentral.